UACGGGGGGGGCAAGCGUUGUUCGGAAUUACUGGGCGUAAAGAGCUCGUAGGCGGCUUGUCGCGUCAACUGUGAAAACCCGUGGCUCAACCAUGUGGUCUGCAGUCGAUACGGGCAGGCUAGAAUUCGGUAGGGGAGACUGGAAUUCCUGGUGUAGCGGUGAAAUGCGCAGAUAUCAGGAGGAACACCGGUGGCGAAGGCGGGUCUCUGGGCCGAUAUUGACGCUGAGGAGCGAAAGCGUGGGGAGCGAACAGG
RNAcentral lists this ribosomal RNA (254 nucleotides) under uncultured bacterium. RNAcentral describes it as "partial 16S ribosomal RNA". It matches the Rfam family "Bacterial small subunit ribosomal RNA", at positions 524 to 776 of the family's 1533-position model. The record is from RNAcentral.